UACGAAGGGGGCUAGCGUUGUUCGGAAUCACUGGGCGUAAAGCGCACGUAGGCGGAUCGUUAAGUCGGGGGUGAAAUCCUGAGGCUCAACCUCAGAACUGCCUCCGAUACUGGCGAUCUCGAGUCCGGAAGAGGUUGGUGGAACAGCUAGUGUAGAGGUGAAAUUCGUAGAUAUUAGCUAGAACACCAGUGGCGAAGGCGGCCAACUGGUCCGGCACUGACGCUGAGGUGCGAAAGCGUGGGGAGCAAACAGG
RNAcentral lists this ribosomal RNA (253 nucleotides) under uncultured bacterium. RNAcentral describes it as "partial 16S ribosomal RNA". It matches the Rfam family "Bacterial small subunit ribosomal RNA", at positions 524 to 776 of the family's 1533-position model. The record is from RNAcentral.